Molecule: ribosomal RNA, 315 nt
Filed under: uncultured bacterium
Lineage: Bacteria
Description: bacterial SSU rRNA
Rfam family: Bacterial small subunit ribosomal RNA
Source: RNAcentral
GACGAACGCUGGCGGCGUGCUUAACACAUGUAAGUCGAGCGGGGAUUAGUGAUAACUUCGGUUGGAUCUAAUUCUAGCGGCGGACGGGUGAGUAACGCGUGAGUAACCUGCCUUUCAGAGGGGGAUAACAGUUGGAAACGACUGCUAAUACCGCAUAACGUAUUGAGAUCGCAUGGUCUUGAUACCAAAGCUGAGGCGCUGAGAGAUGGACUCGCGUCUGAUUAGAUAGUUGGUGAGGUAACGGCUCACCAAGUCGACGAUCAGUAGCCGGACCGAGAGGUUGAACGGCCACAUUGGGACUGAGACACGGCCCAG